GGUUGAUUAGCUCAGUUGGUAGAGCGCGUUACUGUUAAUAACGAAGUCCGUGGUUCGAGUCCACGAUUAACCG
Non-coding RNA from Fibrella sp. ES10-3-2-2, 73 nucleotides. The record is from Rfam. NCBI's taxonomy places the organism in Bacteria, Pseudomonadati, Bacteroidota, Cytophagia, Cytophagales, Spirosomataceae.